UGGGGAAUUUUGGACAAUGGCGAAAGCCUGAUCCAGCAAUGCCGCGUGUGUGAAGAAGGCCUUCGGGUUGUAAAGCACUUUUGUCCGGAAAGAAAUUCUUGGCUCUAAUACAGUCGGGGGAUGACGGUACCGGAAGAAUAAGCACCGGCUAACUACGUGCCAGCAGCCGCGGUAAUACGUAGGGUGCAAGCGUUAAUCGGAAUUACUGGGCGUAAAGCGUGCGCAGGCGGUUUGCUAAGACCGAUGUGAAAUCCCCGGGCUCAACCUGGGAACUGCAUUGGUGACUGGCAGGCUAGAGUAUGGCAGAGGGGGGUAGAAUUCCACGUGUAGCAGUGAAAUGCGUAGAGAUGUGGAGGAAUACCGAUGGCGAAGGCAGCCCCCUGGGCCAAUACUGACGCUCAUGCACGAAAGCGUGGGGGAGCAAACAGGAUUAGAUACCCUGGUAGUCCACGCCCUAAAACGAUGUCAACUAGUUGUUGGGGAUUCAUUUCCUUAGUAACGUAGCUAACGCGUGAAGUUGACCGCCUGGGGAGUACGGUCGCAAGAUUAAAACUCAAAUGAAUUGAC
RNAcentral lists this ribosomal RNA (567 nucleotides) under uncultured bacterium. RNAcentral describes it as "partial 16S ribosomal RNA". It matches the Rfam family "Bacterial small subunit ribosomal RNA", at positions 355 to 914 of the family's 1533-position model. The record is from RNAcentral.